AUUGAACGCUGGCGGCAUGCUUUACACAUGCAAGUCGAACGGUAACAUAAGAAAGCUUGCUUUCUUGAUGACGAGUGGCGAACGGGUGAGUAAUACAUCGGAACGUACCCUGUAGUGGGGGAUAACUACUCGAAAGAGUGGCUAAUACCGCAUACAACCUGAGGGUAAAAGUGGGGGACCGCAAGGCCUCACGCUAUAGGAGCGGCCGAUGGAAGAUUAGGUAGUUGGUGGGGUAAAGGCCUACCAAGCCGACGAUCUUUAGCGGGUCCGUGAGGAGGAUCCGCCACACUGGGAAUGCGACACGGCCCAUACUCCUACGGGAGGCAGCAGUGGGGACUUUUGGACGAUGGGCGGGUGCCUGAUCCAGCAAUGCCGCGUGAGUGAAGAAGGCCUUCGGGUUGUAAAGCUCUUUUGUUUGGGAAGAAAUCCUUAAGGCUAAUAUCCUUGGGGGAUGACGGUACCAAAAGAAUAAGCACCGGCUAACUACGUGCCAGCAGCCGCCGCCG
Molecule: ribosomal RNA, 506 nt
Filed under: uncultured bacterium
Lineage: Bacteria
Description: partial 16S ribosomal RNA
Rfam family: Bacterial small subunit ribosomal RNA
Source: RNAcentral